GGGGAAUAUUGCACAAUGGGCGAAAGCCUGAUGCAGCAACGCCGCGUGAGUGAAGAAGGUUUUCGGAUUGUAAAGCUCUGUCAUCUGGGACGAUAAUGACGGUACCAGAUGAGGAAGCCACGGCUAACUACGUGCCAGCAGCCGCGGUAAUACGUAGGUGGCAAGCGUUGUCCGGAUUUACUGGGCGUAAAGGAUGUGUAGGCGGAUAUUUAAGUGAGAUGUGAAAUCCCCGGGCUUAACUUGGGGGCUGCAUUUCAAACUGAAUGUCUGGAGUGCAGGAGAGGAGAACGGAAUUCCUAGUGUAGCGGUGAAAUGCGUAGAGAUUAGGAAGAACACCAGUGGCGAAGGCGGUUCUCUGGACUGUAACUGACGCUGAGGCACGAAAGCGUGGGUAGCAAAC
Molecule: ribosomal RNA, 400 nt
Filed under: uncultured bacterium
Lineage: Bacteria
Description: bacterial SSU rRNA
Rfam family: Bacterial small subunit ribosomal RNA
Source: RNAcentral